Molecule: non-coding RNA, 21 nt
Filed under: Caenorhabditis elegans
Lineage: Eukaryota; Metazoa; Nematoda; Chromadorea; Rhabditida; Rhabditidae
Source: RNAcentral
UUUGGUAGAUCAGAUAUAACA